This 478-nucleotide ribosomal RNA is filed under the name uncultured bacterium. Its description in RNAcentral is "partial 16S ribosomal RNA". It matches the Rfam family "Bacterial small subunit ribosomal RNA", at positions 28 to 523 of the family's 1533-position model. The record is from RNAcentral.
GACGAACGCUGGCGGCGUGCUUAACACAUGCAAGUCGAACGGUAAGGCCCUUCGGGGUACACGAGUGGCGAACGGGCGAGUAACACGUGGGUGAUCUGCCCUGCACUUCGGGAUAAGCCUGGGAAUCUGGGUCUAAUACCGGAUAGGACCACUGCCUGCAUGGGUGGUGGUGGAAAGCUUUUGCGGUGUGGGAUGGGCCCGCGGCCUAUCAGCUUGUUGGUGGGGUGAUGGCCUACCAAGGCGACGACGGGUAGCCGGCCUGAGAGGGUGACCGGCCACACUGGGACUGAGAUACGGCCCAGACUCCUACGGGAGGCAGCAGUGGGGAAUAUUGCACAAUGGGCGCAAGCCUGAUGCAGCGACGCCGCGUGAGGGAUGACGGCCUUCGGGUUGUAAACCUCUUUCAGCACCGACGAAGCGCAAGUGACGGUAGGUGCAGAAGAAGGACCGGCCAACUACGUGCCAGCCGCCGCAGUAA